Molecule: ribosomal RNA, 301 nt
Filed under: uncultured bacterium
Lineage: Bacteria
Description: partial 16S ribosomal RNA
Rfam family: Bacterial small subunit ribosomal RNA
Source: RNAcentral
CAGUCGCCGCGGGAAUACGAGGGGGGCAAGCGUUGUUCGGAUUUAUUGGGCGUAAAGGGCUCGCAGGCGGUUUCUUAAGUCUGAUGUGAAAGCCCCCGGCUCAACCGGGGAGGGUCAUUGGAAACUGGGAAACUUGAGUGCAGAAGAGGAGAGUGGAAUUCCACGUGUAGCGGUGAAAUGCGUAGAGAUGUGGAGGAACACCAGUGGCGAAGGCGACUCUCUGGUCUGUAACUGACGCUGGGGAGCGAAAGCGUGGGGAGCGAACAGGAUUAGAUACCCGGGUAGUCCCUGUCUCUUAUAC